This 379-nucleotide unclassified non-coding RNA is filed under the name uncultured Bryobacterales bacterium. Its description in RNAcentral is "contains 16S-23S intergenic spacer region". The record is from RNAcentral. Lineage: Bacteria; Pseudomonadati; Acidobacteriota; Terriglobia; Bryobacterales.
UCCAGCUUAUCGCUGGCGGUCUCCUGCGAGUUCCGCCCUUGCGGGCAUGGCAACACAGGACAAGGGUUGCGCUCGUUGCGGGACUUAACCCAACAUCUCACGACACGAGCUGACGACAGCCAUGCAGCACCUCGACUCCACUCCCUUGCGGGAUAGGGAUGUUUCCACCCCCGUUGGGAAGCCGUUCGAGCCCAGGUAAGGUUCUUCGCGUUGCGUCGAAUUGAACCACAUGCUCCACCGCUUGUGCGGGCCCCCGUCAAUUCCUUUGAGUUUCAGCCUUGCGACUGUACUCCCCAGGCGGCAUAUUUAACGCGUUAGCUCCGGCACAGACAGAAUGAACUGCCUACACCAAAUAUGCAUCGUUUAGGGCGUGGACUAC